This 493-nucleotide ribosomal RNA is filed under the name uncultured bacterium. RNAcentral describes it as "partial 16S ribosomal RNA". It matches the Rfam family "Bacterial small subunit ribosomal RNA", at positions 29 to 523 of the family's 1533-position model. The record is from RNAcentral.
AUUGAACGCUGGCGGCAUGCUUUACACAUGCAAGUCGAACGGUAACAGGUUAAGCUGACGAGUGGCGAACGGGUGAGUAAUGCAUCGGAACGUGCCCGGUCGUGGGGGAUAACGCAGCGAAAGCUGCGCUAAUACCGCAUACGAGCUGAGGAUGACAGCGGGGGACCGGAAGGCCUCGCGCGAUCGGAGCGGCCGAUGUCAGAUUAGGUAGUUGGUGGGGUAAAGGCUCACCAAGCCAACGAUCUGUAGCUGGUCUGAGAGGACGACCAGCCACACUGGGACUGAGACACGGCCCAGACUCCUACGGGAGGCAGCAGUGGGGAAUUUUGGACAAUGGGCGAAAGCCUGAUCCAGCAAUGCCGCGUGCAGGAAGAAGGCCUUCGGGUUGUAAACUGCUUUUGUACGGAGCGAAAAGGUCUCCUCUAAUACAGGGGGCUCAUGACGGUACCGUAAGAAUAAGCACCGGCUAACUACGUGCCAGCAGCCGCCGUAA